UACGAAGGGGGCUAGCGUUGUUCGGAAUCACUGGGCGUAAAGGGCGCGUAGGCGGCUUUGUAAGUCGGGGGUGAAAGCCUGUGGCUCAACCACAGAAUUGCCUUCGAUACUGCAUGGCUUGAGACCGGAAGAGGUAAGUGGAACUGCGAGUGUAAAGGUGAAAUUCGUAGAUAUUCGCAAGAACACCAGUGGCGAAGGCGGCUUACUGGUCCGGAUCUGACGCUGAGGCGCGAAAGCGUGGGGAGCAAACAGG
This 253-nucleotide ribosomal RNA is filed under the name uncultured bacterium. RNAcentral describes it as "partial 16S ribosomal RNA". It matches the Rfam family "Bacterial small subunit ribosomal RNA", at positions 524 to 776 of the family's 1533-position model. The record is from RNAcentral.